Molecule: non-coding RNA, 107 nt
Filed under: Thermosediminibacter oceani
Lineage: Bacteria; Bacillati; Bacillota; Clostridia; Thermosediminibacterales; Thermosediminibacteraceae
Also listed under: 1 other name
Description: TPP sequence
Rfam family: TPP riboswitch aptamer (THI element)
About the family: Vitamin B(1) in its active form thiamin pyrophosphate (TPP) is an essential coenzyme that is synthesised by coupling of pyrimidine and thiazole moieties in bacteria. The previously detected thiamin-regulatory element, thi box was extended, resulting in a new, highly conserved RNA secondary structure, the THI element, which is widely distributed in eubacteria and also occurs in some archaea.
Source: RNAcentral
UAUACCUGCUGGGGGAGCUUCGGCUGAGAGGAAACCCGGGCUUCGGGUUUCGACCCCUUGGACCUGACCAGGGUAAUGCCUGCGUAGGGAAGCAGUCCGGUAGCGGU